Molecule: ribosomal RNA, 427 nt
Filed under: uncultured bacterium
Lineage: Bacteria
Description: bacterial SSU rRNA
Rfam family: Bacterial small subunit ribosomal RNA
Source: RNAcentral
CCGAGAAUAUUCGACAAUGGGCGAAAGCCUGAUCGAGCGAUACCGCGUGGUGGAUGAAACGCUUCGGCGUGUAAACAUCUUUUAUGGAGGAGGAAGUUAUUGACGUUACUCCAUGAAUAAGGGGCUCCUAACUCUGUGCCAGCAGGAGCGGUAAUACAGAGGCCCCGAGCGUUACCCGGAAUCACUGGGCGUAAAGCGUGUGUAGGUGGUCACAUUAGUCGUCCGUUAAAACCCAGGGCUCAACCCCGGAGGUGCGGGCGAAACGGUACGACUAGAGGGCGUGAGAGGUACAUGGAACUCAUGGUGUAGGGGUGAAAUCCGUUGAUAUCAUGGGGAACACCGAAAGCGAAGGCAAUGUACUGGCGCGUUCCUGACACUGAAACACGAAAGCGUGGGUAGCGAACGGGAUUAGAUACCCCCGUAGUCC